UCGGCAGGCUACGCAGUCGCCGGGCCAUUAACAGGCCGGGAGGAAAGUCCGAGCACCUCAGGGCAGCGCGGUCGGUAACGCCGACCCGGAGUGAUCCGAGGGAUCAGUGCCACAGAAACGAUACCGCCGCGACGACGGACCGAUUCGGUUCGCUGGAGCGGUAAGGGUGAAAAGAGUGCGGCAAGAGCGCACAGUCGUCGCCGGUGACGGCGGCGGGUGGUAAACCCAGCGCGGUGCAAGGCAAACAGGAUCAGGACGGCCCGUCCGCUACGAUCCGGGUUGCCGCUUGAGUGCCUGAGCAAUCAGGUGCCUAGAUGGAUGACUGCGACGCGCUUCGGCGCGUACAGAACUCGGCUUAUCGGCCAGCCGGCCGG
Molecule: RNase P RNA, 374 nt
Filed under: bacterium
Lineage: Bacteria
Also listed under: 1 other name
Description: RNase P RNA component class A
Rfam family: Bacterial RNase P class A
About the family: Ribonuclease P (RNase P) is a ubiquitous endoribonuclease, found in archaea, bacteria and eukarya as well as chloroplasts and mitochondria. Its best characterised activity is the generation of mature 5'-ends of tRNAs by cleaving the 5'-leader elements of precursor-tRNAs.
Source: RNAcentral